Vigna radiata var. radiata (mung bean) is the source of this 3621-nucleotide long non-coding RNA. RefSeq lists it as uncharacterized. NCBI's taxonomy places the organism in Eukaryota, Viridiplantae, Streptophyta, Magnoliopsida, Fabales, Fabaceae. The record is from RefSeq and is a predicted model, not a curated record. The transcript has 4 exons.
AGGAAUCAGUUACAUUGCAUAUGUAUAUUAGAUUUACAAAAUUUUUUUACUACAUUUGUUGAGGCAUCAGGUGCGUUUCUAAUUUAUUUAAUAGAACGAGAUCAAUUUUAAAAUAAUGGAGUUCAUACAAGGUACGUAUAGUAGUAUUUACUUAGCUUAUUAUUCAAUGAAAAUAUUUUAUUUAAUUUUCUUUUAAACAUUUAACAUGAUUUUUAUUAAAAAAGUGAAGGCCAACUGUUUGGUAACAACAAAGGCCCAAAAGAAAGUAGCCAACGACGCAUGAGACAAUAGUUUCGUUGGAGGCUUCUCGAAUCAAAAGCCUUGAGCUCUUAAACACAGCUGGCUCUUCUAAGAGUGAGAUAACGUGCAGCGUCUUCAUGGCAGUAGCAGAACUUGACGCCUGGAAGAAGAAGAAGAAGGGCGCACCGAGGAAGAAGAAGAAGAACGCACCGAUUAAAAAGGAGAAUCAUCGAGAGGUCUGUGGUGAUUGCGGUGGUGGCCUGAGGGUUUAGGUGUGGCGGCGCUAGGGUUAGAUUUUUAGAAAGAAAGUAGGGUUUUGAUUUUUGGUUGGGCUGAAGGUUGAAGAAGAUGGUGAUGUGGCUCUGUGUUUUGUAAUGAAUAAAGCAGGAUCGACGUAGAUAAUCGUGAAAACCCUUGGGAAAGGUCAUCACCUUUGGCAUGGAGUCUUCUGACAACAGCGGUAAUGUCGAAGCCAAGAUCCAGGACAAUGAGGGCAUCCCACCGGAACAACAACGUAACAUCUCCCUUUGGGUGGCCAAGAGCGUCUCCGGCGGCACGAGUCGUCACUGCAGUCCUCACCGGCCACCAUCGGGACGUCAUCAACACCAAGCUCCUUGACAGUGGUCGCGCCCUGGGCCGCUUCCAAACCUUUCUCGUCAACGACCAGAACGCCAAGGGUGACGACAAUGAGGGAAAAGUUUGAAGUUUUUUAAUUUAUUUUCCUUUAAUGUAUAUUUUUUUGCUUUAACCAAUCCUUUUCUGAGUAAAAAGAAACAACUACUGGAGUAAUAAAAAUGUGCGACGACACGCUUCCACAUCGGGGCCAGAAUUCGACGACAAUCACCAUGGCCCGAUUGACCACCACUUCAAGGCCAUCUCCCAUCUUUCUCUAUGCCCAUUCUGCCUGUGAGGACUCUGAUACGCCGCCGCUGACCUCCGACGACUUCCCCAUGGUGCCCGACAAAUCCCAUAAGCACGUCAUCAACGCUCAAUUUUCAGGUUAAGUAGGACAACUCUGUCGGAAGCCAAGCCUUUGUUCCAAUCUGUCAUCCUUGGAAGAUUUUAUCAGGUUUAAUUACCUUUUUAGUCCCCAAGUUUGGGGUUGAAUUUCUGUUUGAUACCUGAUUUUAAAAGUGAUUUAAUUUGGUCCUCAAGUUACUGAUUUUGCUUUUAAUAGGUACCUUCCGUUAAGUAGCUUGCAACGACGUUAACUUCAGACGUACGUGGCAAUAUUUUUCUUCUCUCUCCUCUGUUAUUCCUAACACUUCUUUCUCUCUUUCCUAUUUCUCUCUCACCAUUAUAACAUCAUUAUAACUACUUCUCACACCUUUUUCUCUCUCUUCUAUUUCUCUUUCUUACCAUUAUAAAUACCUCUCACCUUUUUCUCUCUCAAGCCAGACCACGCAUAAGUCUUUUCAAAUAAGCAUAAUCUGGUUUGUCAUCAAACCUCAGUGACCGACAGUAAUGGAAGUAUGAAGCAAAUUCUGAGGGAUAGCCACGACAGAGAGGCUAACAAAAAAGUAAUCCACAAUCAGAUAUGAUUUGGAACCAAAAUAUGGACAUGUGAUAUUAAACAAAUAACCUUCUUUACGUUCGGCCGUGCCAGGAGCUUGCUCAUGAUGGUGGAGGUGAACAGUGCCGCGUGCUUGCUCACCACGUAGUCCUCCUGCUCGUCAUAGUCCACGUCGAGCUCGUCCAGAAAGAGGUGGGCGGGCUUGCGCACCACCAUGGCGGAGAGGAGCUGCCCGCCGAGCCAUGCGCCGCCGCUUGGGCUCAUUGAUUGCUCGAUUAUGGCGAUUCGCACGACCGGGUUCUUGCUCAGCUCGUACGCGCAGGAGAGGCCCGCGGAGCCUGCCCCCACGAUCACGACGUCAGUGUCGGUGUAGGUUAUCAUGUCGGUCAUGUAUCAGCGCGUCAUUUCGCGUGCGACGAUGGAUUCUUUGAUGGGUUGGAACUUAAAAGAUUGGAAGUCGUAAGGGGGUGUAGUUAGGGACAUGGAGAUUGCGGGUUGUUUUCACACUUUCCUGAAUCAAAAACGAAAAUAAAAUAGUAAAACAUCACCCCACACUCAAUAAUUUCAAUCUUGCAGCAGAAAGAAACAAAAAACCUUAAUUUCCAAGUAAUUAUCAGCGAAGCCCGUGUUAGAAAACAAACUAAAAACACAAAAGAAAAGAUAUUCGAUAUCCUAUAACUCCAAUUUCAACUCUACAAUACAACAUCACUGAAAUUCUUCAAUUCCUAACUUCUGCAACUUCUUAAAUUUCUCAGCACCAAAUAGAAGUAGCAAAAAACAAAGAUGUUAAACAUUUUUUUUUCAAAUUAGGGUACGUCGUAGGUCUAAAAACUCACAAGCUUAAUCGCAACCUCUUCAUUCGUCUAAAGAUUAGUUCCUGCGGCAACAUAAGCAAAAUAAGCAAAACAAAUUAAAGAAAAUAGGAAGUAAAUAAGCAAAAAAACGAAAAUCAAGUGGAAGCAGAGCGCACCGAGAUACAAAGCAUACUUUUUGUAUUGGUUUAAAGGCCAGAAUGAGUUGCGUUAUGCUUCUUCAACGAAAGGAAGCUAGUGUACCAUCUUUCAUAUUCUUCUUGAUCUGACGUUUCCUUUAUGCAAGGUUCUCCGGACUUGAAAUAAUAAUAAUACUAUUAUUAUUAUCAUUGAUUAUUGAAUCUGCAAAUGCAAUGCACCAAAAAUAAGAUAGAAGGGAUGUUAUAAGGGUGAGAGAGAGAAAUAGAAGAGAGAGAAAAAGGUUAGAGAGAGGUAGUUAUAAUGAUGUUAUAAUGGUGAGAAAGAAAUAGGAGAGAAAGAAAGAAGUGUCAGGAAUAGCAGAGGAGAGAGAAGAAAAAUAUCACCACGUAAGUCUAAAGUUAACGCCGUUGCAAGGUACUUAACGGAAGGGACCUAUUAAAAGGAAAAUCAGUAACUUGGGGACCAAAUUAAAUCACUUUUAAAAGCGGGUAUCAAACACAAAUUCAACCCCCAACUUGGAGACUAAAAAGGUAAUUAAACCAUUUUAUUAUAAUCAGGGUGGAAAUAGCAAAUGGAUGGCUACUCUCGUUCAAACUGCUACCUUCCAUGAUAUACAAUUCCUUCGCUUGUAGAGGCUUGAACUUUUGUUUCACCUUCCAUCAAAUGUUUCUCUCCUCGAGGAAAAUGUUGACAACUAUCAUCGCGAGUUCCAGGACCUCAUCAUCGACAACCAACGCCUCGCCGCAACAGUUGCUAAACACGACAACAAAGUGCGCGAGAUCCCUGCCUCACACGUCGUUCAUUUGAUUAACCUUUUUCUAUUAAAGCCAAACACAACUUAACGAUGACCAUCAAGUUGAUAUUUUUAUUUAAAUAUCAAUUAUGUUUUGGAUAUUAUGUAUCUUGCAGUUUAUA